AGAGACGAUAACAUUGAGGCUGUGGAAUUGGGUAACUUGUUGGAGUCAUAUCGUGUCAACAGAGAGCAUCUAACUUGGUCUGUCCGACUCUAAACCCACAGCACUCAAGCAGAGCACGAUGCUGCUUUCCUGCAGAUAAAACCACAUCCUCAACACAAAGAAAAGGCGAAGACGCCGAGACUUUUGAGGGGAAGAGGACAGUUGUAGACCUCUUUUCCUCAAAUUAAUAACAACAGCAGACUUAGAAAAUAUCUCUUGAACUACAGACUAGGCCAGCAGUACAGCUGCAUGGUUCUGAGGAGCCCGGGAGGACUCCUGCUGUCCAGGCUGAAUCUUUCUACCCAUAAAAAUUCCCUC
Molecule: long non-coding RNA, 357 nt
Filed under: Dasypus novemcinctus (nine-banded armadillo)
Lineage: Eukaryota; Metazoa; Chordata; Mammalia; Cingulata; Dasypodidae
Description: lncRNA (ENSDNOG00000050731.1)
Source: RNAcentral